UAAUUUAAUGUAACGGCUAAGUGAUAACAUAACGUUAAGAAAAGAGCCGCAGAUUAAUUACAAAAUUUCCAUAGGUGUGAUGUUGUGUUAUGACGACUCCUUUUUAAGUGAUAAGUGUUC
This is a long non-coding RNA of Thalassophryne amazonica, 120 nucleotides long. RefSeq lists it as uncharacterized. The record is from RefSeq and is a predicted model, not a curated record. Lineage: Eukaryota; Metazoa; Chordata; Actinopteri; Batrachoidiformes; Batrachoididae. The transcript has 3 exons.